UACGAAGGGGACUAGCGUUGUUCGGAAUUACUGGGCGUAAAGGGUGCGUAGGCGGUUGUUUAAGUCUGUCGUGAAAUCCCCGGGCUCAACCUGGGAAUGGCGAUGGAUACUGGGCAGCUAGAGUGUGUCAGAGGAUGGUGGAAUUCCCGGUGUAGCGGUGAAAUGCGUAGAGAUCGGGAGGAACAUCAGUGGCGAAGGCGGCCAUCUGGGACAACACUGACGCUGAAGCACGAAAGCGUGGGGAGCAAACAGG
Molecule: ribosomal RNA, 253 nt
Filed under: uncultured bacterium
Lineage: Bacteria
Description: partial 16S ribosomal RNA
Rfam family: Bacterial small subunit ribosomal RNA
Source: RNAcentral